UAGAGUUUGAUCCUGGCUCAGGAUGAACGCUGGCGGCGCGGAUAAGGCAUGCAAGUCGAACGAAUGUUCCCUUGAAGAAGUUGCGAUUACAUCAAGACGACGGAUAGGGAAUGUGAGUGGCGAACGAGUUCGUAACACCUUGGUACGUACCCGGAAGUCGGGCAUAACGGGUCGAAAGAUCUGCUAAUUCCUGAUGGUCCCGCAAGGGUAAAGGAGCAAUUUGCUUCCGGAGCGGCCUAGGUCCUAUCAGCUUGUUGGUGAGGUAACGGCUCACCAAGGCUCUGACGGGUAGGGGGUGUGAGAGCAUGGCCCUCAACGACGGAACUGAGACACGGUCCGUACACCUACGGGUGGCAGCAGUCGAGAAUAUUCGACAAUGGGGGAAACCCUGAUCGAGCGACGCCGCGUGCAGGAAGACGGCCUUCGGGUUGUAAACUGCUUUUGCUAGGGAAGAAUUUUGACGGUACCUGGCGAAUAAGGGGUUGCUAACUCUGUGCCAGCAGCAGCGGUAAUACAGAGACCCCGAGCGUUAUCCGGAAUUACUGGGCGUAAAGGGCGAGUAGCCGGUCGAGUUAGUCCGAUGUCAAACCAUGGGGCCCAACCCCAUGCCUGCAUUGGAAACGGCACGACUAGAGUCGGUGAGAGGCGGACGGAACAUACGGUGUAGGGGUGAAAUCCACUGAUAUCGUAUGGAACACCAAAAGCGAAGGCAGUCCGCUAGCGCUGUACUGACGGUGAAUCGCGAAAGCGUGGGGAUCAAAAAGGAUUAGAUACCCUUGUAGUCCACGCCCUAAACGUUGCCAACUGGCUAUCGGGAGCAUCGACCCUUCCGGUGGCGAAGCUAACGCGUUAAGUUGGCCGCCUGGGAAAUACGAGCGCAAGCUUAAAACUCAAAGGAACAGGCGGGACUUCGCACAAGCAGUGGAUCAUGUGGUUCAAUUCGACUCUAACCGAGAAACCUCACCAGGGCUUGAAAUCCAGACGUAAUCCUUCCGAAAGGUUGGACCCCGAAAGGCGGCUGGACAGGUGCUGCACGGCUGUCGUCAGCUCGUCACGUGAGUGGUCUCCUUAAGUGGAUUAACGAGCGCAACCCCUACCGUGUGUUACAAGUGUCACACGGGACUGCUGCGGUAACGCAGAGGAAGGUGGGGACGACGUCAAGUCAGCGUGGCCCUCUGAUGCCCUGGGCUACACACAUGAUACAAUGGACGUUACAACGGGUUGCCAAGCCGCGAGGCGGAGCUAAUCCCAUCAAAGGCGUCCUCAGUUCGGAUAGGAGGCUGCAACUUGCCUCCUUGAAGCUGGAAUUGCUAGUAAUCGCGGAUCAGCAUGCCGCGGUGAAUACGUUCUCGAAGUUUGCACUCACUGCCCGUCAACUCAAGGGAGCCGGGAAUACCUGAAGACCCCUGAAUAUACGGGGGGACACGGUAGGUUCGGUGACAGGGAGUAAGUCGUAACAAGGUAACC
This 1467-nucleotide ribosomal RNA is filed under the name uncultured bacterium. Its description in RNAcentral is "bacterial SSU rRNA". It matches the Rfam family "Bacterial small subunit ribosomal RNA". The record is from RNAcentral.